AUUGAACGCUGGCGGCAGGCCUAACACAUGCAAGUCGAGCGGAUGAAGGGAGCUUGCUCCUGGAUUCAGCGGCGGACGGGCGAGUAAUGCCUAGGAAUCUGCCUGGUAGUGGGGGAUAACGUCCGGAAACGGGCGCUAAUACCGCAUACGUCCUGAGGGAGAAAGUGGGGGCUCUUCGGACCUCACGCUAUCAGAUGAGCCUAGGUCGGAUUAGCUAGUUGGUGGGGUAAAGGCCUACCAAGGCGACGAUCCGUAACUGGUCUGAGAGGAUGAUCAGUCACACUGGAACUGAGACACGGUCCAGACUCCUACGGGAGGCAGCAGUGGGGAAUAUUGGACAAUGGGCGGAAGCCUGAUCCAGCCAUGCCGCGUAUGUGAAGAAGGUCUUCGGAUUGUAGAGCACUUUAAGUUGGGAGGAAGGGCAGUGAGUUAAUACCUUGCUGUUUUGACGUUACCAACAGAAUAAGCACCGGCUAACUUCGUG
This 484-nucleotide ribosomal RNA is filed under the name uncultured bacterium. RNAcentral describes it as "partial 16S ribosomal RNA". It matches the Rfam family "Bacterial small subunit ribosomal RNA", at positions 30 to 507 of the family's 1533-position model. The record is from RNAcentral.